AAACAUGCAGACAGGAUACUGUAUACAUAAUAAGUAAAUCUCAUAAAAACCAAACCAUUUGGGAACUCGACUGCAUAAUUUGUGGUAGUGGGGGACUGUGUUCGCACUCUCCCCUG
Molecule: small nuclear RNA, 116 nt
Organism: Cricetulus griseus (Chinese hamster)
Lineage: Eukaryota; Metazoa; Chordata; Mammalia; Rodentia; Cricetidae
Gene: U1
Rfam family: U1 spliceosomal RNA
About the family: U1 is a small nuclear RNA (snRNA) component of the spliceosome (involved in pre-mRNA splicing). Its 5' end forms complementary base pairs with the 5' splice junction, thus defining the 5' donor site of an intron. There are significant differences in sequence and secondary structure between metazoan and yeast U1 snRNAs, the latter being much longer (568 nucleotides as compared to 164 nucleotides in human).
Source: Ensembl